AGUAUCCAUUGGAGGGCAAGUCUGGUGCCAGCAGCCGCGGUAAUUCCAGCUCCAAUAGCGUAUAUUAAAGUUGUUGCGGUUAAAAAGCUCGUAGUUGGAUUUGUGUCCCACGCUGUCGGUUCAUCGCUCGUCGGUGUCUAACUGGCAUGAUACGUGGGACGUCCUGCCGGUGGUGGCGAGUCGGAGGCGUGCACCCGCCGCGGUUCCACUGCGUGCGGUUCUUGUGCGCCCGAGGCGGACCCCGAUGAAAUCCUACCGCGGUGCUCUUCGCCGAGUGUCGAGGUGGGCCGGCACGUUUACUUUGAACAAAUUAGAGUGCUUAAAGCAGGCCUGUUGCGCCUGAAUACUGUGUGCAUGGAAUAAUGGAAUAGGACCUCGGUUCUAUUUUGUUGGUUUUCGGAACCAGAGGUAAUGAUUAAUAGGGACAGGCGGGGGCAUUCGUAUUGCGACGUUAGAGGUGAAAUUCUUGGAUCGUCGCAAGACGGACCGAAGCGAAAGCAUUUGCCAAGUAUGUUUUCAUUAAUCAAGAACGAAAGUUAGAGGUUCGAAGGCGAUCAGAUACCGCCCUAGUUCUAACCAUAAACGAUGCCAGCUAGCGAUCCGCCGAAGUUCCUCCGAUGACUCGGCGGGCAGCUCCCGGGAAACCAAAGCUUUUGGGUUCCGGGGGAAGUAUGGUUGCAAAGCUGAAACUUAAAGGAAUUGACGGAAGGGCACCACCAGGAGUGGAGCCUGCGGCUUAAUUUGACUCAACACGGGAAACCUCACCAGGCCCGGACACCGGAAGGAUUGACAAAUUGAGAGAUCUUUCUGAUUCGGUG
RNAcentral lists this ribosomal RNA (818 nucleotides) under Spalacomimus verruciferus. Its description in RNAcentral is "SSU rRNA". It matches the Rfam family "Eukaryotic small subunit ribosomal RNA", at positions 540 to 1272 of the family's 1831-position model. Lineage: Eukaryota; Metazoa; Arthropoda; Insecta; Orthoptera; Tettigoniidae. The record is from RNAcentral.